UCUCCCUGAAGGAAGUAUUAUAAACCCCAUCUGUGUUUUAGACAUGAGAAACCUGAGAUUUGAGCAAAUGUAAUGAGCGAAUUCCAUCUAUCAUUCUAGGUCUAGUGUUGGAUGAUGUUCCUGCCGUACUAUGCAAACUGGUCACAGGCAUCUCUUCACUUGUCGGUAGACACAUUUAGGAGCCAGACACCAAGGAUUGGCUAAAGACACAGAGCUAACUAUGAAGAGGAGCUUGGAGCUCGUGUCCUGCUGGAGGGAGGAACUGGCACGUGGACGAAGUGAUAACACAGGGAACCCAUCUUACCACAUACAGAUCUUCCUAGAAGAAUAUGCUGAUAAGAAGUACCAAUCCAAGUGGCGACGUCUCCAGCACUCUCCCAGGACCCUUGCAGAACACCUUUCCUUAUCAGCUCCUCUCCCUCUGACCUUGUCUACCACUCGGCAGUAGAAGUUCUCUUCACUUCAUGUAUCAGGUCUCUCCCUCAUUUGUCCCUCUUACUAGCUCCUGAAUUACUUAGCAGAACCAGAAACUUUGCAUCAUUCCCAUAACUAAUAUUUACACGUUUCUUUAGAUGCCCUUUCAACUAGAUUCCACUGAUACAAUCCCUGCAAUUUCCAUAACUGUCUUGAAAGCAGUGCAUUAAACUGAAAAUCAGACAAUGAAGUUGAAACUGACCUGCCUUCAAACAAUAGUGCUGUAAUGCACGCUUCCUCUGACCCUGGUGUGUUAUGUAAGUCUCUCUGCCUAUGCCUUCUGUGGUGAAAAGGUCCUUUUAGAAGGCUUGUACGGAGCAUUAUACAUGGAGUGUCUGGAAUCUAAUACGCACUCAACAAAUGCUCAUCCAAACCCUUGACUCGCCAGUCAAUUAAUCCACACGGAAGAAAGAAAAGCAAAUGAAAAUCUUUGGGGACAUAUUUUUUGUUUAAUUGUCUGCAGGGCUAAUUGUUCUGAAGUUUCCUUAUUUCCAUUGUGUAUUUUACCUGGAGAUAUACAGAAGUGAGGACUUUCCCCCCAGUUAGGUGCCAGGAGGUUUGUGAAGAUAACAACAAAUUAUAUGAGAACUUUUAAGAUGUGGCUGACUGAGAAGGAAUAAUUGUUGAUUUCUAGAUUGGUUAUUUACCUUUUGUGGCUGGUUGUUUCAAUUAAUUCACCAGUUUUAUUCAAUUAUUUGAUUCCAAAGAGUGGUUCUAAAUUAAAAACAACCAUCUUGCCUAAAAUUGUCCUUGGACAUUGAGGGCCUAACACCUUCUGGUUAUGGUUGUGUACAUGGCUGAUAUCCCAGGUACCCUUUGCCUGGUGCUCUCUCAAGUGUAAGCCUUGAUGGUUUUGCAGGCCUGAGCACCCUUUUAUCUCCAUUUUCUCAGCUGUUGCUGAUGAGUACAGAAGUUUAGUUAUUUGGCUCACGCCUGUAAUCCCAGCACUUUGGGAGGCCAACGCGGGUGGAUCACGAGGUUAGGAGUUCGAGACCAGCCUGGCCAACAUAGUGAAACCCCAUCUCUAGUAAAACUACAAAGAUAAGCCGGGCGUUGUGGCGGGCGCCUGUAAUACCAGCUACUCAGGAGGCUGAGGCAGGAGAAUUGCCUGAACCUGGGAGGCGGAGGUUGCAGUGAGCCCAGAUUGUGCCGCCACACUCCAGCCUGGGCCACAGAGUGAGACUCCGUCUCAAAAAAAAAAAAAAAAAAGGAAGUGGAUACAUAAUUUUUGCUGGCUAGGUCAUGCCUGUCUCUGCAAACAUGCAGCUAUUACAAGAUCUAGAUAUGUGAUUAGAUAUGAAAAGACCACCCCAAACAAUGGACUGUCAUACAAUCCAUAAAGGGUGCUUUAUUCAUUUUUUCCCCUUUAAUUUAACAGGAGGAGAAAAGAGCUAUGGUAGGAAUUAACUGUAAAAGUAGCUGCAAAAUAGCCAAGAUUCAGGCUAUAUAAAAUUUGCUGCAAAGAAAACCAAAAUACAGGCUGUAUAAGUAGUAACCCAGUUGUUCUACCCCAUAUGUGGGACACAAAGAGUUUGGAAGGCAAAACGUUAGAUACCUAACUCUGAAAGACAGUUCUAUGACUAUUUAGAAAAAGAUGUGUUUUUUUCUGCACUGUCUUUGCUCCUCCAACUUUUCUAAAAACUAUAAAUAUGAAUCAUUUUAUCUUGAAAACAUGCAUAUUGGUUAAAUCAAACAUCAAUAAAUCAUAAAUCCUGUCAGCCUGCCCCA
Molecule: long non-coding RNA, 2202 nt
Organism: Piliocolobus tephrosceles (Ugandan red Colobus)
Lineage: Eukaryota; Metazoa; Chordata; Mammalia; Primates; Cercopithecidae
Source: Ensembl